Molecule: small RNA, 131 nt
Filed under: Arabidopsis thaliana (thale cress)
Lineage: Eukaryota; Viridiplantae; Streptophyta; Magnoliopsida; Brassicales; Brassicaceae
Description: ATSL179020
Source: RNAcentral
AAUUUCUAUUGUAACAGUGUAACUAGAUAAAACCCGUGUAAACAGAAGGUGCAAGAAAUAAAUGCUAUUUUAAUCUAUGAUAUGUUAGUUCUAAAUCGUAUUCAACACACUUUUUCUAGUUAAUUUAAUAU